AUAUGCUUGUCCCGAAGCUUAAGCCAUGCAUGUCUCCGAAUAACUAGUAGCUUGAUCCCGAAUCUGCGAACGGCUCCGUAUAUCUGUUGUAACCCGCCACCGCCCAGGCUUUCCCGGCAUAACCACGGUAAUUCUGUGGCUAAUACGUGUAACCCUAGGGCCCCUCCUACCCCGGGAGGGGCCCGGGCUCGCCGCCCAACCAACGCGGGUUUUACCCGCUGCGCGAGAGCUGGCGAGUGUCCCUUACCGCAGCCUGCCUGUGGAGCGUGUGACGGGCUUCAGACCUAUCAACUAGACGGCCAGGGAUAGCCUGGCCGCGGUUAUUACGGGUACAGAGGAUCAGGGUUCGGUCCUGGAGAGGUAGCCUGAGAGAUCGCUACUACUUCUAAGGAAGGCAGCAGGCGCGCAACGUUCCCAAUGGGGAUACCCUGAGGACGUGAAGGGACAUACCAAUGCCCGGCCCUUAAAGCCGGGCAAUUGGAAUGGGGGACCUCUAAACCCCACACCGAGUAACA
RNAcentral lists this ribosomal RNA (515 nucleotides) under Oligonema favogineum. RNAcentral describes it as "SSU rRNA". It matches the Rfam family "Eukaryotic small subunit ribosomal RNA", at positions 26 to 546 of the family's 1831-position model. Lineage: Eukaryota; Evosea; Eumycetozoa; Trichiida; Trichiidae. The record is from RNAcentral.